Mauremys reevesii (Reeves's turtle) is the source of this 441-nucleotide long non-coding RNA. RefSeq lists it as uncharacterized. The record is from RefSeq and is a predicted model, not a curated record. NCBI's taxonomy places the organism in Eukaryota, Metazoa, Chordata, Testudines, Geoemydidae. The transcript is spliced from 3 exons.
GUUGUCUGCUUUUAUGAUGGCAAACAGUUUCAUAAUGCUAAUGAUUGUUGGCUCAAAGUCAAGUUCUGUAGAAACUGCAAGAAAUUGGAGCACAUGUAGAAGAUGUGCAGGUCAGUGCGAGAAGCACAACCACCACCUUACAAGGGCAAUACCAGAGAAUUUCAGAUUCAUUAGUUUACAGAAGGCAACAUGGAAUCCAUGGAGAAUGCUGUAGCAUCUCUACAACUGUUUAAUUUAGAAGACAAAUGAGGCCACACUGAAAUGGACAUUCUUAUUGAUAUCUGGUGCAUUUGGAGAAAACUGACAUCUGGGGUGCAAAAGGAAGGUCAUGGGAAGAAAAGGAUAACUGGAAUUAGAAGCCUCCAGGACAAAUGGAGAAGCCAUCAUUUCCAGGAUUCUUUGGAUUCAAUUAAUUAAUACCCUACAGUUAAGACCAGGAGC